Molecule: ribosomal RNA, 492 nt
Filed under: uncultured bacterium
Lineage: Bacteria
Description: partial 16S ribosomal RNA
Rfam family: Bacterial small subunit ribosomal RNA
Source: RNAcentral
AGUGAACGCUGGCGGUAGGCCUAACACAUGCAAGUCGAACGGCAGCACAGUAAGAGCUUGCUCUUACGGGUGGCGAGUGGCGGACGGGUGAGGAAUACAUCGGAAUCUACUUUUUCGUGGGGGAUAACGUAGGGAAACUUACUCUAAUACCGCAUACGACCUACGGGUGAAAGCAGGGGAUCUUCUGACCUUGCGCUAUUGAAUGAGCCGAUGUCGGAUUAGCUAGUUGGCGGGGUAAAGGCCCACCAAGGCGACGAUCCGUAGCUGGUCUGAGAGGAUGAUCAGCCACACUGGAACUGAGACACGGUACAGACUCCUACGGGAGGCAGCAGUGGGGAAUAUUGGACAAUGGGCGAAAGCCUGAUACAGCAAUACCGCGUGGGUGAAGAAGGCCUUCGGGUUGUAAAGCCAUUUUGUUGGGAAAGAAAAGCAGCAGGUUAAUACCCCGCUGUUAUGACGGUACCCAAAGAAUAAGCACCGGCUAACUUCGUG